AUUGAACGCUGGCGGCAGGCCUAACACAUGCAAGUCGAGCGGAUGAAGGGAGCUUGCUCCUGGAUUCAGCGGCGGACGGGUGAGUAAUGCCUAGGAAUCUGCCUGGUAGUGGGGGAUAACGUCCGGAAACGGGCGCUAAUACCGCAUACGUCCUGAGGGAGAAAGUGGGGGAUCUUCGGACCUCACGCUAUCAGAUGAGCCUAGGUCGGAUUAGCUAGUUGGUGGGGUAAAGGCCUACCAAGGCGACGAUCCGUAACUGGUCUGAGAGGAUGAUCAGUCACACUGGAACUGAGACACGGUCCAGACUCCUACGGGAGGCAGCAGUGGGGAAUAUUGGACAAUGGGCGAAAGCCGGAUCCAGCCAUGCCGCGUGUGUGAAGAAGGUCUUCGGAUUGUAAAGCACUUUAAGUUGGGAGGAAGGGCAGUAAGUUAAUACCUUGCUGUUUUGACGUUACCAACAGAAUAAGCACCGGCUAACUUCGUG
Molecule: ribosomal RNA, 484 nt
Filed under: uncultured bacterium
Lineage: Bacteria
Description: partial 16S ribosomal RNA
Rfam family: Bacterial small subunit ribosomal RNA
Source: RNAcentral